Molecule: non-coding RNA, 1479 nt
Organism: Aegilops tauschii subsp. strangulata
Lineage: Eukaryota; Viridiplantae; Streptophyta; Magnoliopsida; Poales; Poaceae
Source: RefSeq, a predicted model, not a curated record
UUGUUUUUUUAUUACUGUAAUUAUACUUUUUUUACUGUAAGUCUAUGUAAUAAUGUUAUAAAACUGGGAAUUCUAAUAAAAUUUUGCAUAGACUAUGUCACGUGGGGCCAAAAUUAAGCAGGUCCUAUCAGCCGCCAAUGAAGGACAAAAUAUCAAUGUGAAAAGAUUAGCGAGGGCGGAGCGCGCGGGGAGGAAAAAUUCUCAGUGCCUUACGCGGGGUGUCAAAUUUCGAUCGAUUUAACCCUGCAUCGAACACAAAGACCUAACCACGUCCCUUCUCCCACUCCGUGCGCCGCCCCCAUCCGAUCGUGGCCGCCCGCAUCCCUCCUACUCCUCCUCGAGCCUCCUGCAUCGCAUACUCAUAGCAGCGCCGUCCAGAUCCGUCAAAGACGGUGAGUCGCCCUUCUCUCAUAGCAGGGGCGCCAAUCUCUUCGUCCUCGUCCUCAUCCACAAUAGACGCUGCAUGGAUCUCCACAGACGGCGCACUGGUGACGCGGGUCUGGACGAGGCCGGCAUCAGUGGCCUUUAUCGAGACCAAGAACUCAUGGAGCUUCAGAUCUCCAUCAGACCUAUCUGUAAGGGAAUACGUGGUGCCGGGAUUGUCCUUGGUGGGGUGGCGACAAUGCGUUCAGGUCCACUCACGCCUGGCUGUUGCUGCACGUUCAAGCAUGAGCAGUCCCGUCGUUGGCAUCACAGGACGAGUGGCAGCCUAGAAGCAGUUUCUAUCAUAGACGACGGGCUCAGAUUCUUGUGCAUAAAAAACAUUAUGCACGCCAUGGAUGCAUGUGAAUAUAUUUAUAGUCUAUACCGUCGUGUGUUGGAUGUGGUACUUUUUACAUGUUGGAGUAGUACUAAUAAGUCUCUAAUUAAUCCAGGAAUUCAGCGUGCGUGCGUAGUGUGUUGUAUCUAGCAAGAACCGAUCAGUCUGAUGGAUCAUGUCAAAGAGGAAUUGCCAUCCUUUGUCGUCAUCAUGGUCGCCCCAUGCCGAAAAGUACUCGCGUAUGAAUGGGGCCAAGUCGGCGAAUUGUCAUCAGCGAGCUAGAACGUUCUCAUAUAUUUCUACAAAUGUAUAUAUAUCUUCCAUGCGACAAGUAUCUUCUAUUCUCAUGAUGCUGAUUAAGUGUUGUAGGAGAUAGUUGCGCAAAAGAUGUAAAUUUGACAUUUAAGGUUCACUCACAUAUAUUUUCUCAAAAGAUAAGGGAUAUAAAAUAUAGAAUCUUCCAACUUUCGGAGACAAUGUGUCUUUGAAGGGGAAAGUCUAAAUGUUGGACAAAGCAUAUUGGACUACAAAGUUAUCCAAGCAGCAAGAGGAAGUAGCAAGAUCCAAAAAACUAGUUGGACUGGACUCUACAUCAUGGAUAGUUUAGUCUUCGUAGUUAAUUAGGAUGGCUAAAUUACAUUUGAGUUUCAUUUGAUGGAUAUUUGUUAUGAGAAUUAUGAAUUUUUUGAAUCUACAUAUCAUACAUAUGGUUUUGAAUA